UGAGUAACCUGCCCUUAACUCUGGGAUAAGCCCUGGGGAAACUGGGUCUAAUACCGGAUAUGACUCCUCAUCGCAUGGUGGGGGGUGGAAAGCUUUUUGUGGUUUUGGAUGGACUCGCGGCCUAUCAGCUUGUUGGUGAGGUAAUGGCUCACCAAGGCGACGACGGGUAGCCGGCCUGAGAGGGUGACCGGCCACACUGGGACUGAGACACGGCCCAGACUCCUACGGGAGGCAG
Molecule: ribosomal RNA, 235 nt
Filed under: uncultured bacterium
Lineage: Bacteria
Description: partial 16S ribosomal RNA
Rfam family: Bacterial small subunit ribosomal RNA
Source: RNAcentral